GAACGCAUCUUGCGCUCCUUGGUAUUCCUAGGAGCAUGCCUGUUCGAGCGUCAUUUCAACCCUCAAGCUCUGCUUGGUAUUGAGUCCAUGUCAGCAAUGGCAGGCUCUAAAAUCAGUGGCGGCGCCGCUGGGUCCUGAACGUAGUAAUAUCUCUCGUUACAGGUUCCCGGUGUGCUUCUGCCAAAACCCAAAUUUUUCUAUGGUUGAUCUCAAAUCAGGUAGGACUACCCGCUGAACUUAAG
Molecule: unclassified non-coding RNA, 242 nt
Filed under: uncultured fungus
Lineage: Eukaryota; Fungi
Description: sequence contains 5.8S rRNA gene
Source: RNAcentral